RNAcentral lists this transfer RNA (74 nucleotides) under Leptothrix sp. (in: b-proteobacteria). Its description in RNAcentral is "tRNA-Gly". It matches the Rfam family "tRNA". Rfam says of the family: Transfer RNA (tRNA) molecules are approximately 80 nucleotides in length. Their secondary structure includes four short double-helical elements and three loops (D, anti-codon, and T loops). Further hydrogen bonds mediate the characteristic L-shaped molecular structure. tRNAs have two regions of fundamental functional importance: the anti-codon, which is responsible for specific mRNA codon recognition, and the 3' end, to which the tRNAs corresponding amino acid is attached (by aminoacyl-tRNA synthetases). tRNAs cope with the degeneracy of the genetic code in two manners: having more than one tRNA (with a specific anti-codon) for a particular amino acid; and 'wobble' base-pairing, i.e. permitting non-standard base-pairing at the 3rd anti-codon position. The record is from RNAcentral. RNAcentral also lists the same sequence under 5 other names. Lineage: Bacteria; Pseudomonadati; Pseudomonadota; Betaproteobacteria; Burkholderiales; Sphaerotilaceae.
GCGGGAGUAGUUCAAUGGUAGAACCUUAGCCUUCCAAGCUAAUGACGCGGGUUCGAUCCCCGUCUCCCGCUCCA